UGCCAAACUUUAUAGUUGUAGUAGUAGUGGGGGAACAGGCCAUUUAAAAAGACAUCAAGAGAGUCAUAGGAUACAUGAUUCUCAUGCUCAAAGUACCCUUAAUAUACAAGGAGGAUCACUUGUAGGUAAUUUUGCAUAUAAUCAUGAAAAUCAAAGAAAAACACUUGUAAAAUGGAUAGUUAAGGAUGAAUUACCUUUUAGUUUAUGUGAAU
Molecule: long non-coding RNA, 212 nt
Filed under: Phoenix dactylifera (date palm)
Lineage: Eukaryota; Viridiplantae; Streptophyta; Magnoliopsida; Arecales; Arecaceae
Description: long non-coding RNA (PDAC_LNC007908)
Source: RNAcentral